CCUACGGGUGGCUGCAGUGGGGAAUAUUGGACAAUGGGCGAAAGCCUGAUCCAGCCAUGCCGCGUGUGUGAAGAAGGCCUUCGGGUUGUAAAGCACUUUCAGUGGGGAAGAAAGCCUUGGGGCUAAUACCCUCGAGGAAGGACAUCACCCACAGAAGAAGCACCGGCUAACUCCGUGCCAGCAGCCGCGGUAAUACGGAGGGUGCGAGCGUUAAUCGGAAUUACUGGGCGUAACGCGCGCGUAGGCGGUCUGAUAAGCCGGUUGUGAAAGCCCCGGGCUCAACCUGGGAACGGCAUCCGGAACUGUCAGGCUAGAGUGCAGGAGAGGAAGGUAGAAUUCCCGGUGUAGCGGUGAAAUGCGUAGAGAUCGGGAGGAAUACCAGUGGCGAAGGCGGCCUUCUGGACUGACACUGACGCUGAGGUGCGAAAGCGUGGGUAGCAAACAGGAUUAGAUACCCUAGUAGUC
This 465-nucleotide ribosomal RNA is filed under the name Vreelandella stevensii. RNAcentral describes it as "partial 16S ribosomal RNA". It matches the Rfam family "Bacterial small subunit ribosomal RNA", at positions 338 to 795 of the family's 1533-position model. Lineage: Bacteria; Pseudomonadati; Pseudomonadota; Gammaproteobacteria; Oceanospirillales; Halomonadaceae. The record is from RNAcentral.